UGGGGAAUAUUGGACAAUGGGCGAAAGCCUGAUCCAGCCAUGCCACGUGUGUGAAGAAGGUCUUCGGAUUGUAAAGCACUUUAAGUUGGGAGGAAGGGCAGUAAGUUAAUACCUUGCUGUUUUGACGUUACCGACAGAAUAAGCACCGGCUAACUCUGUGCCAG
RNAcentral lists this ribosomal RNA (164 nucleotides) under uncultured bacterium. Its description in RNAcentral is "partial 16S rRNA". It matches the Rfam family "Bacterial small subunit ribosomal RNA", at positions 355 to 511 of the family's 1533-position model. The record is from RNAcentral.